CAAUAGCGUAUAUUAAAGUUGUUGCAGUUAAAAAGCUCGUAGUUGGAUUUCUGGUCGGAGCGACCGGUCGGCGUCCUUUGUGGCGUGUGCACUGUUGUCGGCUCCGUCCAUCCUAGUGGGAAGGCGUGUUGGCAUUCAUUUGUCGGCGCGUGGCCCCGCUACGUUUACCGUGAAAAAAUUAGAGUGUUUAAAGCAGGCGUUCGCUGUGAAUACAUUAGCAUGGAAUAAUGAGAUAGGACUUUGGUACUAUUUUGUUGGUUUGCGCACCAAGGUAAUGAUUAAUAGGGAUAGUUGGGGGUAUUCAUAUUCAAUUGUCAGAGGUGAAAUUCUUGGAUUUAUGGAAGAUGAACUUAUGCGAAAGCAUUUACCAAGGAUGUUUNCAUUAA
This 386-nucleotide ribosomal RNA is filed under the name uncultured eukaryote. Its description in RNAcentral is "partial 18S ribosomal RNA". It matches the Rfam family "Eukaryotic small subunit ribosomal RNA", at positions 592 to 976 of the family's 1831-position model. The record is from RNAcentral.